GUGUCAGCAGCCGCGGUAACACGUAGGGGGCAAGCGUUGUUCGGAAUUAUUGGGCGUAAAGGGCAUGUAGGCGGUUUGGUAAGCCUGAUGUGAAAUCCUGCAGCUUAACUGUAGAAUUGCAUUGGGUACUGCCGAACUUGAAUCACUGAGGGGAAACUAGAAUUCCAGGUGUAGGGGUGGAAUCUGUAGAUAUCUGGAAGAAUACCGGUGGCGAAGGCGGGUUUCUAGCAGAUGAUUGACGCUGAGGUGCGAAAGUGCGGGGAGCGAACAGGAUUAGAUACCCUGGUAGUCCGCACCGUAAACGAUGUACACUAGGUGUCGGGGCAUGAGUCUCGGUGCCAAAGCUAACGUAAUAAGUGUACCGCCUGGGAAGUAUGCCCGCAAGGGUGAAACUCAAAUAAAUUGACGG
Molecule: ribosomal RNA, 409 nt
Filed under: uncultured bacterium
Lineage: Bacteria
Description: bacterial SSU rRNA
Rfam family: Bacterial small subunit ribosomal RNA
Source: RNAcentral